AACUGCUUUUGUACCGGAAUAAACCCCAUGUCGUGACGUGGGUUGAAUGUACGGUAAGAAUAAGGAUCGGCUAACUCCGUGCCAGCAGCCGCGGUAAUACGGAGGAUCCAAGCGUUAUCCGGAUUUAUUGGGUUUAAAGAGUGCGUAGGCGGCCUAUUAAGUCAGGGGUGAAAGACGGUGGCUCAACCAUCGCAGUGCCUUUGAUACUGAUGGGCUUGAAUGAACCUGAGGUAGGCGGAAUGUGACAAGUAGCGGUGAAAUGCAUAGAUAUGUCACAGAACACCAAUUGCGAAGGCAGCUUACUAAAGUUUAAUUGACGCUGAGGCACGAAAGCGUGGGGAUCAAACAGGAUUAGAUACCCUGGUAGUCCACGCCCUAAACGAUGAAUACUCGAUGUUAGCGAUAUACAGUUAGCGUCUAAGCGAAAGCGUUAAGUAUUCCACCUGGGGAGUACGCCCGCAAGGGUGAAACUCAAAGGAAUUGACGGGGGCCCGCACAAGCGGAGGAGCAUGUGGUUUAAUUCGAUGAUACGCGAGGAACCUUACCCGGGCUUGAAAGUUAGUGAAGUAUCCAGAGAUGGGUACGCCCUUCGGGGCACGAAACUAGGUGCUGCAUGGCUG
Molecule: ribosomal RNA, 620 nt
Filed under: uncultured bacterium
Lineage: Bacteria
Description: bacterial SSU rRNA
Rfam family: Bacterial small subunit ribosomal RNA
Source: RNAcentral